GAUGAACGCUGGCGGCGUGCCUAAUACAUGCAAGUCGAGCGAACAGAUGAGGAGCUUGCUCCUCUGACGUUAGCGGCGGACGGGUGAGUAACACGUGGAUAACCUACCUAUAAGACUGGGAUAACUUCGGGAAACCGGAGCUAAUACCGGAUAAUAUAUUGAACCGCAUGGUUCAAUAGUGAAAGACGGUUUUGCUGUCACUUAUAGAUGUAUCCGCGCCGCAUUAGCUAGUUGGUAAGGUAACGGCUUACCAAGGCAACGAUGCGUAGCCGACCUGAGAGGGUGAUCGGCCACACUGGAACUGAGACACGGUCCAGACUCCUACGGGAGGCAGCAGUAGGGAAUCUUGCGCAAUGGGCGAAAGCCUGACGGAGCAACGCCGCGUGAGUGAUGAAGGUCUUCGGAUCGUAAAACUCUGUUAUUAGGGAAGAACAAAUGUGUAAGUAACUAUGCACGUCUUGACGGUACCUAAUCAGAAAGCCACGGCUAACUACGUG
Molecule: ribosomal RNA, 497 nt
Filed under: uncultured bacterium
Lineage: Bacteria
Description: partial 16S ribosomal RNA
Rfam family: Bacterial small subunit ribosomal RNA
Source: RNAcentral